Molecule: ribosomal RNA, 399 nt
Filed under: uncultured bacterium
Lineage: Bacteria
Description: bacterial SSU rRNA
Rfam family: Bacterial small subunit ribosomal RNA
Source: RNAcentral
AACGAACGCUGGCGGCGCGCUUAACACAUGCAAGUCGAACGAGAAGGCGUAGCAAUACGCUUGUACAGUGGCGAACGGGUGAGUAAUACGUGGGCGACCUACCCUCGAGUGGGGAAUAACCCGCCGAAAGGCGGGCUAAUGCCGCGUACGCUUCCAUCUUUAUGGAGGUGGAAGGAAAGCCGUGCCGUGGGCACGGCGCUCAAGGAUGGGCUCACGUCCUAUCAGCUUGNGGUGGGGUGAUGGCCUACCAAGGCGACGACGGGUAGCCGGCCUGAGAGGGCGACCGGCCACACUGGGACUGAGACACGGCCCAGACUCCUACGGGAGGCAGCAGUGGGGAAUCUUGCGCAAUGGGCGAAAGCCUGACGCAGCGACGCCGCGUGAGGGAUGACGGCCUGG